ACGUAGGGGGCGAGCGUUAUUCGGAAUUACUGGGUGUAAAGGGUAUGUAGGCGGCCCUUCAAGUCGCGUGUCAAAGUCCAGUGCUCAACGCUGGGUGUGCGCGCGAUACUGACGGGCUUGAGGGCUGGAGAGGUGAGCGGAAUUCCCGGUGUAGUGGUAAAAUACGUAGUGAUCAGGAGAAACACCGACGGCGCGGGCAGCUCACUAGACAGUUUCUGACUCUAAGCUGCGUAACUGUGGUGAGCAAACAG
RNAcentral lists this ribosomal RNA (251 nucleotides) under uncultured prokaryote. Its description in RNAcentral is "partial 16S rRNA". It matches the Rfam family "Bacterial small subunit ribosomal RNA", at positions 525 to 775 of the family's 1533-position model. The record is from RNAcentral.